RNAcentral lists this long non-coding RNA (396 nucleotides) under Chrysolophus pictus (golden pheasant). Its description in RNAcentral is "lncRNA (ENSCPIG00010014529.1)". The record is from RNAcentral. Lineage: Eukaryota; Metazoa; Chordata; Aves; Galliformes; Phasianidae.
UGCUAAGAGGAAUCCAGCAGAAUAACUGACAGAGUUAAGAGAUUUCGUGCCAAAGACUAUAUUGCAUUUAAAUGUAUCAUGCAUACAUCAGAGUCUACUGGAGGUUGCUAAGUUCAAAGAGCCUCUAAAGGAUGGGUUAAAGUUUGCCUGCAAAGCAGUUCCGUGUUCUUUGGAUUCAGGGUUUUGGCUCUGACAUUGCAGCGCACUUCAAAUGGAAUUCUGCCUGGACAAGAGCUGUAGGAUUGUGAUCCUGGCUGAGGGGAUGAAGAAGUGUAUGAAAGAGCAUUGAUGUGCUGAAGGAAAAGCUGCAGAAGCCUUUUACAAAUAAUUACAUGAAAAGAUAGGUGAAAAAUCUUCCAUCUUCUUAUUAAUAAAAGCGUGGUCAGUAAUGUUACA